CGCCCGGUCAUUGGGGAGUAGUCGCGCUGCCGUCUUAAUAAACGGCGGUGGCUUGCGUCAACACACUUGGCCCACAGGCCAUGGCGCAAGCGGUUUCCACGCCUGGCAAGACCUUUGACCACGAUGCCUCCGACCUGGCCGGGGAUGCGUCGUGGUCAACCGUCCCGCUUCCGGCCAUU
RNAcentral lists this small RNA (179 nucleotides) under Rubrivivax sp. A210. RNAcentral describes it as "yybP-ykoY". It matches the Rfam family "Manganese Mn2+ riboswitch aptamer (yybP-ykoY)". Rfam says of the family: This RNA was originally discovered in E. coli during a large scale screen and was named SraF. The family was later found to exist upstream of related families of protein genes in many bacteria, including the the yybP and ykoK genes in B. subtilis. The record is from RNAcentral. Lineage: Bacteria; Pseudomonadati; Pseudomonadota; Betaproteobacteria; Burkholderiales; Sphaerotilaceae.